AUGCAGCUGCUUGUGUUGUUGUGUUGCGUAGCGAUGGCGGCGGCGGUGCCACAUUCAGGGAUGGAGGGGAGAAAACUUUCAGAGACGCAGGGCCUGCUCAGGUCCUUCUACACCAUCGGCAGCCCCCAGAGUGACGGAUCCCAUCCGUCGCUGAAUAUCAAGCUGGGAUGCUGCGAAGCGGCGCUCACCUGUUUCCACGACAACCUUAAGAACGUCACGGCGCAGCACGAGAUAGCGUCGGGCAUGCAAUUGUUCAGCAGUCUGAAAAACUCAAACCUGAGGAAGGCUGUCCAGUGCAAAGACCCUGGCCCCGCCCCGGAUCAUUCCUGCCCAGCCUGCGAUUCUUUCCCCAGGACGAAGGCGGAGCUUGUCAACCAGCUGUCCCAGUUCCUCGAAAAGGCAGCGAGCAGCUUGUCUACAAAAAGACGGGGAUGAAUCCACCAACUAGGACGCAGCUGAACCCACCAAUCCGGACGCAGCUGAACCCAUCAGACCUCAUCUACAUUCAAAUUUUUAUUUAAGAGCAGCUCACAAUAAUGUAUUCCCAUUAACAGGCCAUAGAUCUUAUUCAUAUGAAUAUUUAUUUUCUUUGUAUUAACUGAUUUACUUAUUUAAUAUUUAUUAAUUUAUUAUUUAUUCAUUUAUUUAUACAGAGUGUGUGGACACUUGGUUAUUGGUUCUUAAAGAACCUAUGAUUUGCUACCGUUCAUGGUAAUUUAUUUAUUUACAAAUAAAAUUAUUUUUAUUUAAUAAAAAUGCCUUUGUCUUGUUUUUGAUACUGAGUCACAUGAUGAAUCUGCUUCUGCCUUAUUAUUAUUUCACCAUUUAAAUUGCUAAUAUUUCCCUGUUGCCCAUCUCUUUAAAAAAAAAAUUGUCCUUAAUUAAAAUUGUCCUUAAGAGGUGCCUCCUUUCGAACAUAGGAAAAGACAGCACUGUUUAAAAUGAAUUAGACUCCACUUUUCAGAAACCAACAUCAUUGCGUGACGGCGAGUAUUGCUGACAUCUAGCGUCUCUAGCGUGGACCUAUAGUUUUCCGGAGUUGGACUACAACAUGUGCUCUUUCGAUCCAUGCAUUCUUGUCGCAUUGAUUUCAAUCAUGAUGUCGCCAAAAGUGAGAAUCACAUAGGCCCAGGGGCGUAGGAACGUGUUUAACAUUGGAGGGGACACAUAUCGGAAACCUGACAGAUUCAUUGAUGGUUCGAAGAGAAAUAUGUCAUAAAUGAACUACACUGCAAAACAUUCACAAAUGUAUUUUAUUAUUCUAAAAAUAUACAUUUGUAAAGGAAAACACAUUUUGAAUGGCAGUAUUGAACUGAUACAUAUCAAAUCAAUUAUUUAAUUGCAGGCCUUAUCAUACAGUUUUGUAGACUGAUAAAUAACAUGUGAAAAAUAUUGAUCUAAAUUUGAAUUCGUAUUUUCUGAAUACCUUUUCUUUUCUUAGUUGUAGCCUAUCUUAUGCCUCAAUGAACACACAGGCAAAGGUUAAGGUUAAAGAGAAAAACAGCAUCAAGAAUUUUAACACGGUUCUAUCAACAUCCUUUCUGUACCGACAGCGAUAUAUUGAUGCACUUCUUAUGACAAAUGUACUUAUUGUAAGUAGCUUUGGAUAAAAGCGGCUGCUAAAUGCCCUAAAUGUAAACGUAAAUGUAACUUGUUUUUAAUCUCGAGUAGGCCUAUGUGAUAUUAUUCGAACAUUUCCACUAACUGAUUGGUGUGUGAAGGCAAACGAAAACGACAUUAGAAUGGAUGUAAUGAACUGAUAAAUAUAAAUUAGUUUGUAGAACUGAUACAAAUAAAAGCUAGAUAGCACUGUAGUGUUAUCCAACAGUGUCAAACGUGCCGUGACACACAAAAGGUUGAAAAACUAUGGCCUAGGCAAAAGAGCCAAAAUGUUUUCUUCUCCUGUCAUUUGCAGCCACGAAAUGCUUGCAAAUUGACUUCUUGUCAGUAAGUCAAGUCUAUCCUGAUGGACAUGACAGACAGCAACAUGGUUGAGUCUGUUUUGAGACAUUGUGGACCGGAGCCAGGUUUUGAGCCUGCGGAGGACACUAAAACUUCUCUGCUAUUCUACUGCCGUCUUUUCAUUUUAACAGCUCUAACCUGUUGCGUUAGCUGCAGACACCCGCAUCUCAAACAGUCUGAGCCGUUGAUGGGAUGCGGCAGCUUAUGGCUGUCUUGCGAGACAGCCGUAUUCACGCGAGAUCACGAGAUCACGCGAUUAGAGUUGCAGGCUGGCAGCGAUCAGCAGCGGUGACAGCGGCGCUUACGUCCCCGAUGGAAAGCAGGCAACUAUUCUUCUAGGCAGCGAUUCGAAGGCGUUUCCAGCCUGAAGUCCUUAUAACUUCCAACCGCCCCCAACCCUACGCGCUGCCAUACAUGGGGCAGGUGACAAGACGCUGCGUUGCGCUUUCAAAAUAAAAGCGAGUAAAAUAUAAAAAAUAUAUAUAUAUAUUUUGCGGUAUAAUUUUUGGGGGGGACAAAUGCGCCUGUCUCGAAAAUUGGAGGGGACACGUCCCCUCCGUCCCCCCCGGUUCCUACGCCCUUGCGGCCUAUAGGCUGGACUUGGCCAACGGGAAUAUUUUGGGCCACUUGAAUCCCACAUGUGAAAAA
RNAcentral lists this long non-coding RNA (2610 nucleotides) under Gadus morhua (Atlantic cod). RNAcentral's name for it is "lncRNA (ENSGMOG00000031275.1)". Lineage: Eukaryota; Metazoa; Chordata; Actinopteri; Gadiformes; Gadidae. The record is from RNAcentral.